Non-coding RNA from Pelobates cultripes (western spadefoot toad), 285 nucleotides. The record is from the annotation of a GenBank genome assembly. Lineage: Eukaryota; Metazoa; Chordata; Amphibia; Anura; Pelobatidae.
UUUUGUGCAUUAAACUUGCAACACACUGAAAUUAAACCAGCAGCACAUACGAUUUUUUAUGCAUAUGUUUAAUAUUUGUAGGUGGAGACUGUCCUUUCAAAUUAUGUCUUUGUGCUUUGUGCUUUUGUACUGAUGUUGGAAUAAUUUCAAGGUGUUGCAACACAAGCCAUUCUGGCACUUUUUAGUAUGUUUUUGUUCAACCAACACACAUUAUGUAUCAUUUUUAAGUGACAGAUAGUGAUCUCUACUAAAACAGAAAUUUUAUUAUUUGUUUAUCAAUAGUAU